CAAGUUAGGGCCACGAUGGACAGCUUCCAGAAAAAAAAAUAAGACAGUCCCAAGACAAUGGAGAGUAAAAUUGUAGCAGACAAGUUAAUACUCUUCACACUUAUCCUCUCCCUCAGCACUAUCCAUCGUCCUCAUAAUCCUUCUCAAGGGCAGCCAUGUCCUCAUGGGCCUCAAAAAACUCUCCUUCCUCCAUGCCUUCACUCACAUACCAGUGAACAAAGGCACACUUGGCCUAUAUCAGGUCAAACUUGUGGUCUAGGUGAGCCCAGGCCUCACCAAAUGGCUGUGGUGUUGCUCAGCAAGCAUACACCUCACUAUACUUUGGCCAGGUCUCCACCUGGUACCACAGUGGGAGGCAGGGAAUUAAUGCCAACUCUGAAGCCAGUGGGGCACCAGUCCACAAACUGGAUGGUAUGCUUGGUCUUGAGAGUGGCAGUGGCAGGACUGACAUCUAUCGGAACCACGUCACCAAUGGUACAACAGGCAGCAAGCCAUGUAUUUACCAUGGUGAGGGUCACAUUUCACCAUGUGAUUGGCUGGCUCAAAGCAUGCUCUAGUGAUCUCUGCUACAGUAAGCUGUUCGUGGUGGGCUUUCUCAGCAGAGAAGUAGGGCCGUAUGUGGCCAGAGGGAAGUGGAUG
Molecule: long non-coding RNA, 639 nt
Filed under: Lynx pardinus (Iberian lynx)
Lineage: Eukaryota; Metazoa; Chordata; Mammalia; Carnivora; Felidae
Source: RNAcentral